RNAcentral lists this ribosomal RNA (500 nucleotides) under uncultured bacterium. RNAcentral's name for it is "partial 16S ribosomal RNA". It matches the Rfam family "Bacterial small subunit ribosomal RNA", at positions 30 to 523 of the family's 1533-position model. The record is from RNAcentral.
AUUGAACGCUGGCGGCAGGCCUAACACAUGCAAGUCGAGCGGAUGACGGGAGCUUGCUCCUUGAUUCAGCGGCGGACGGGUGAGUAAUGCCUAGGAAUCUGCCUGGUAGUGGGGGACAACGUUUCGAAAGGAACGCUAAUACCGCAUACGUCCUACGGGAGAAAGCAGGGGACCUUCGGGCCUUGCGCUAUCAGAUGAGCCUAGGUCGGAUUAGCUAGUUGGUGGGGUAAUGGCUCACCAAGGCGACGAUCCGUAACUGGUCUGAGAGGAUGAUCAGUCACACUGGAACUGAGACACGGUCCAGACUCCUACGGGAGGCAGCAGUGGGGAAUAUUGGAUAAUGGGCGAAGGCCUGAUCCAGCCAUGCCGCGUGUGUGAAGAAGGUCUUCGGAUUGUAAAGCACUUUAAGUUGGGAGGAAGGGCAGUAAGUUAAUACCUUGCUGUUUUGACGUUACCGACAGAAUAAGCACCGGCUAACUCUGUGCCAGCCGCCGCCGUAA